GGCUAUUUCUGUAGUUAUAGAAAAGACCAACCUUCUCAUUCCUGCUUUCCAAGCCAGUUCGGGACCAGUAGGGAAAGCAUCAUGACCAUUAUGGUGCUUCGCUGUGUCUCUUUGGACACCAAAUUGCAGUUAGUGCCAAAGCUUCAGCGAUUGAACGCGUCACUGCAUAAAAAUUACACUUCUCACUUUCACUUCAGCCACCCACCCGCGUACUUUCCUCCAAAAAUUUACAAACUUUACCAACAGAAAAAACCGAAAAACAUCCAAAAAUAUUCCAUUGGUGAAGCUCAGAUGAGAUCAUCACCUCCGGCAAAUCCAUCUACAAUGUCAUCAUUAUCUUCUUCUUCCUCAAAGAAACAAGCCCUUUUCAUUACUUCCCUUAUCAUCCUCUGGUACUCCUCAAACAUUGGUGUUUUGCUUCUCAACAAGUACUUGCUCUCUAACUAUGGUUUCCGGUUCCCAAUCUUCCUCACCAUGUGCCACAUGUCUGCUUGUGCCAUUCUCAGUUAUCUAUCUAUUGUUUUCUUCAAGAUGGUUCCUCUUCAGCCUGUCAAAUCUAGGCAUCAGUUCUUCAAGAUUGCAACUUUGAGUGUUGUCUUUUGUGGGUCUGUUGUCGGUGGCAAUAUUUCGCUCAGGUAUUUGCCUGUUUCCUUUAAUCAGGCUGUCGGUGCUACGACUCCGUUUUUCACUGCGGUUUUUGCCUACUUGAUGACCUUCAAGAGGGAGGCUUGGGUUACAUAUGCUGCUCUUGUGCCUGUUGUUGCUGGUGUUGUCAUUGCUAGUGGGGGUGAGCCAGGUUUUCACUUGUAUGGAUUUAUUAUGUGCAUAAGUGCAACUGCUGCAAGGGCCUUUAAGUCUGUUCUUCAGGGCAUCCUGCUUUCUUCUGAGGGAGAAAAGUUGAACUCGAUGAAUUUGCUGCUGUAUAUGUCCCCUAUUGCAGUUUUAGUAUUGUUGCCUGCAGCACUUGUAAUGGAGCCCAAUGUGCUAGAAGUCACCUUAUCCCUGGGAAGGCAACAUAAGUAUAUGUGGGUACUGCUGGUUCUUAAUUCAACAAUGGCCUACUCAGCUAACUUGUCAAACUUCUUGGUCACUAAGCAUACAAGUGCACUAACACUCCAGGUUUUAGGCAAUGCAAAAGGUGCUGUGGCUGUUGUUAUCUCAAUCUUCAUCUUCAGGAAUCCUGUAACGUUCGUGGGCAUUGCCGGUUACACGAUGACUGUUGCUGGCGUCGUCGCUUAUGGAGAAGCAAAGAGAAGGUUUAGAUGAAUGGGUUUCUAGAUGUUUCAUUUUGUAUAUUUGUUUUUGUUUCCAGAGGUUAGUGGACUUAUGUGAGCCAGAUUAUCAUAUUUUUAAUUUUGGAGGAGAGAGAAUUGCAUUAUCAUGUUGUAUUUACUAUACAUGAGGCGUAUGCUUCAGUAUAUUCAAUUCUAUUCUGAUUCAGUGAUUUGAUGGAGAAGGGUGUUUUUAGGAUCUCCAUUGUAUUCUCCCCCAGUGUUGUAUGACAAGGAAGAACUUGACACUUAUCUGACAUUGGUGAAAAUUAUUUGCCUCUAAAGCAGAGUAAGGAAAACACGACGUUGUUGUAUUUGCAUCUAAAGCAGAGCAAGGAAAACACGUCGUUGUUGUUGUUGUUG
Molecule: unclassified non-coding RNA, 1634 nt
Filed under: Hevea brasiliensis (rubber tree)
Lineage: Eukaryota; Viridiplantae; Streptophyta; Magnoliopsida; Malpighiales; Euphorbiaceae
Source: RNAcentral